Molecule: long non-coding RNA, 1380 nt
Filed under: Homo sapiens (human)
Lineage: Eukaryota; Metazoa; Chordata; Mammalia; Primates; Hominidae
Description: HSALNT0118212
Source: RNAcentral
CCUCCCUGAAACGCGGUGUCAGAUGGUUACUGAUUAAUAUUUUGGAGAGGCCGCGGCGGCAGGCAGCGGCCUAGGUGACAGAGAGAAACUCCAUCUCAAAAAAAAAACAAAGAAAAAAGAAAAGAAAAGGAGGGGACACAGGCACAGAGAAGGCCAUGUGACGACGGAGACAGAUGGGAGCGAUGCAGCUACAGGCCUGGGAACACCGAGGAUUUCUGGAGCCUCGGGAAGCUGCAGGGAGGGCUGGAACGGAGCCUCCCCGACGGCCUCCAGAAGCAGCCAGCCCUGCCCACACCUUGAGUUCGGACUGCUGGCCUCCAGCACUGUGCAAGAGCAAACUCCUGUCAUUAGAAGCAACCUAGGCUGUGGCCACCCGCCCAUCUCCCUAGGAGGUCUGGCUGCUCUUGGAUACCCGGAGCCUCCUACCUCAGCUUGCUGGGCACUGACCUUGAGCGUUGCUCCCUCGACCUGCAGUGCUCCCUGCAGCGCCCCACCCCAUGGGGGACACAGGAGGGGACUCUCAGAGCCGUCCCCCCGACAGGCCGAGGCUCCUCCCAGGAGAGGACCCCACUGCCCCGCCAGCACUGGACACUGGACACUGUUUUCCAUAAACAUUUCUUUGAACUGAAUUUCAUUCUUCUCACCCAAGAAAUCUCUGGAAAACAAUGCUGAGGCCAGGGUGGAGUGCCGGGGAGAGGGGAUGUUUUAAUGGUUUGUGGAGGGUUUUCUGUUUUGUUUUGUUUGUUUUUUUCUGGCAUUGUCUCUCUCUUCUGAUUUCCCUGUAACUGACAGGGAGGAAAUGGAUUCUGAAAAUGGGUUCCUUCCCACCCCUGGGGGCUCUGAGAUCAAAGUGUGGUGGGGCCGGGUGGACAGGACUUGGUGCUCCGAGGUGGGGUCCUUCCUGAUUCCCUCCCACCUUCUCCACCAUGCCCCCCUUUACCCAACGGGGCCUGGCCAGGAAGGGGCAUACCAGGGGGCUAUUCUGGGGGACAGGUCUCCAGGGCACCUGCCCUGCGUGCCCACCCAGUGAGGGGUUCCUGGCCCAGAGUUGCCCCCUCAGCAUAUCCCAGGGGGCUGGUGACCCUGUAGGCCCCUCCACUUUGCUAAAGAGGAUACAGGGAGGGUUGGUGGCCCAGAACUCACGAACCACUGCUGACCAGGAAUGGCCAAGGGAGGCCCACACAGAACACCCAAUCCCACAGCCACCUGCUCUAGUACCACUUGGGGCCUCUCCAGCCACUGGCCUGGCUGCAUUUGCUCUCCAAAACUGCCACUUUCUUUUAGUUUUUAAGGGACAGGCUCUUGCUCUGUCACUGAGGCUGGAGUCCAGUGGCACAAUCAUAGCUCACUGCAGCCUCAAACUCCCGGGCUCAAGCGAUU